Long non-coding RNA from Vidua chalybeata, 383 nucleotides. RefSeq lists it as uncharacterized. The transcript is spliced from 3 exons. NCBI's taxonomy places the organism in Eukaryota, Metazoa, Chordata, Aves, Passeriformes, Viduidae. The record is from RefSeq and is a predicted model, not a curated record.
CUGUAAUGCACUUAGGAGUUCAGCUGUUUAUAAUGAGGGGAUUUCAGUCUGGUUUGAGCUAAUUCUAGCAGCUGCUUCACAAAGCUGGCCACUGCUCUUCUUCAGUGUUUCUACCACUACUGAAUUGUGGAUCCUUACCAGGUUUUUCCCCUCCACUUUUUUCACCACCAAGUUGUUUAGUUGGCUCUUGGAGGGGAGUUCUUCCUUGUCUCAAGCAUUCUAGGACAGUGAAGCAAAACAAACAACCUGGCUUUCCUGGGAAUAAAACAUUUACAGGGAAGAGGCAGGUGUGAAGACCACUGGCAAGUCUUUGGGCAGAGGAUGGAACACGAAGCAGAUGGGUUUCAUUUCCAGCUUGGGAAGCUAUUCAAGGGUGUUGCAGA